GUGGGGAAUCUUGCGCAAUGGGCGAAAGCCUGACGCAGCCAUGCCGCGUGGAUGAUGAAGGUCUUAGGAUUGUAAAAUCCUUUCACCGGUGAAGAUAAUGACUGUAGCCGGAGAAGAAGCCCCGGCUAACUUCGUGCCAGCAGCCGCGGUAAUACGAAGGGGGCUAGCGUUGCUCGGAUUUACUGGGCGUAAAGGGCGCGUAGGCGGACAUUUAAGUCAGGGGUGAAAUCCCGGGGCUCAACCUCGGAACUGCCUUUGAUACUGGGUGUCUUGAGUAUGAGAGAGGUGUGUGGAAUUCCGAGUGUAGAGGUGAAAUUCGUAGAUAUUCGGAGGAACACCAGUGGCGAAGGCGGCUCACUGGCUCGAUACUGACGCUGAGGUGCGAAAGCGUGGGGAGCAAACAGGAUUAGAAACCCUAGUAGUCC
RNAcentral lists this ribosomal RNA (425 nucleotides) under uncultured bacterium. RNAcentral's name for it is "partial 16S ribosomal RNA". It matches the Rfam family "Bacterial small subunit ribosomal RNA", at positions 354 to 796 of the family's 1533-position model. The record is from RNAcentral.